GUAUUCCUUUCAUCACUCUCUAAACAUUUAUACGAGGUGCUCGCAACAGGAUCAACAUUUCAACAUUGGGUAAAUGAGCAGAGAAUAUGGAUGAUGAAGUCAGUCACAUCUCACUUAUAUGGUAGUGUGGAUGCUUUCAUGAAGAAACUUGGUAUGAGAGAAGCUAGUUUUCUCCCAACAAAUAAAGUCGACGACGUUGAACAACUCAAGCUUUACAAUAUGGGAGUAUUUGAUUUCCAAACAUCACUACAAUUUCUUGCUCCAAUGGUUGCCCUAGUCAUCUUGAACAUGGCUUCGUUUGCUGUGGGGAUUGCUAGAGGGAUCUUUGUGGGGGAGUUGGACAAGAUGUUCAUACAAAUCUUCAUAGCCUUUUAUGUCAUAG
RNAcentral lists this long non-coding RNA (382 nucleotides) under Malus domestica (apple). Its description in RNAcentral is "long non-coding RNA (MDOM_LNC015897)". The record is from RNAcentral. Lineage: Eukaryota; Viridiplantae; Streptophyta; Magnoliopsida; Rosales; Rosaceae.